AUUGAACGCUGGCGGCAGGCCUAACACAUGCAAGUCGAACGGUAACAGGAAGCAGCUUGCUGCUUUGCUGACGAGUGGCGGACGGGUGAGUAAUGUCUGGGAAACUGUCUGAUGGAGGGGGAUAACUACUGGAAACGGUAGCUAAUACCGCAUAACGUCGCAAGACCAAAGAGGGGGACCUUCGGGCCUCUUGCCAUCGGAUGUGCCCAGAUGGGAUUAGCUAGUAGGUGGGGUAACGGCUCACCUAGGCGACGAUCCCUAGCUGGUCUGAGAGGAUGACCAGCCACACUGGAACUGAGACACGGUCCAGACUCCUACGGGAGGCAGCAGUGGGGAAUAUUGCACAAUGGGCGCAAGCCUGAUGCAGCCAUACCGCGUGUAUGAAGAAGGCCUUCGGGUUGUAAAGUACUUUCAGCGGGGAGGAAGGGAGUAAAGUUAAUACCUUUGCUCAUUGACGUUACCCGCAGAAGAAGCACCGGCUAACUCCGUG
RNAcentral lists this ribosomal RNA (490 nucleotides) under uncultured bacterium. RNAcentral's name for it is "partial 16S ribosomal RNA". It matches the Rfam family "Bacterial small subunit ribosomal RNA", at positions 30 to 507 of the family's 1533-position model. The record is from RNAcentral.